UUAGCUUUACCUCACAGUUUGGAGAAUUUCAUCUUCUCUGUUAAUUAGUAAAUGGACAACAUUUUAAGACAUGCCAUUCCUCUGAAGUCAAAGUUCAAAUAGGACAUUCACAGUCAGGUUGCCCAAUUUUCAAGUGUUGAGUCAUGCCGGCUAAAGGGCAGGAGGGCACAGAGGUAGAAGACUUGGACUGGUACCUCAUGCAGGUCAUGUGAAUAGCGUUCACUCUAUUCUAGAACUGGAGAGCUCCUUAGGUCCCUCUGUCAGAAUUUCUAACCAAUGGGAAUGAGAAAAAUUCUAACUGGCCCUGUUAAUUCAGAGGGAGAAAAACGUUUGGAAUGUUAUUUGUGGAACUGUAACUGUGACCUCAACUCAGUACAACAUGCCCAGGCAGGAUAUCCUGCACCGGUGACCUCAACACUCUGCCAAGAAGAAAGCCAUCAUGACAUGCAACCCUUUGAACUUGGCCCAUUAGAACUGAUUAUGGGUGACCAUCUCCAAACAGCAAAAAGUUACAGAGGAAAUUUCAUCUGCAAGGAGGAGAUAAAAAGGUUUCCAAGCCACAGCAGACAGGUGAGGAGCUGA
This 582-nucleotide long non-coding RNA is filed under the name Fukomys damarensis (Damara mole-rat). RNAcentral's name for it is "lncRNA (ENSFDAG00000022773.1)". Lineage: Eukaryota; Metazoa; Chordata; Mammalia; Rodentia; Bathyergidae. The record is from RNAcentral.